This is a non-coding RNA of Mustela putorius furo (domestic ferret), 124 nucleotides long. The record is from Rfam. Lineage: Eukaryota; Metazoa; Chordata; Mammalia; Carnivora; Mustelidae.
GGCUACGGCCAUACCACCCUGAACACGCCCCAUCUCGUCUGAUCUCGGAAGCUAAGCAGGGUCGGGCCUGGUUAGUACUGGGAUGGCAGAACACAGUCGUCAAGGGGAGAUGGGGCUUUUUCAC